RNAcentral lists this ribosomal RNA (253 nucleotides) under uncultured bacterium. Its description in RNAcentral is "partial 16S ribosomal RNA". It matches the Rfam family "Bacterial small subunit ribosomal RNA", at positions 524 to 776 of the family's 1533-position model. The record is from RNAcentral.
UACAGAGGGUGCAAGCGUUAAUCGGAAUUACUGGGCGUAAAGCGUGCGUAGUCGGUUAUCUAAGUCGGGUGUGAAAUCCCCGGGCUCAACCUGGGAAUUGCAUUCGAUACUGGAUAGCUAGAGUUCGGCAGAGGGAAGCGGAAUUUCGGGUGUAGCGGUGAAAUGCGUAGAGAUCGGGAGGAAGGCCGGUGGCGAAGGCGGCGCUCUGGAACAUUUCUGACGCUGAGGCUCGAAAGCGUGGGGAGCAAACAGG